AUUUAAAGGGGUAUCCCUAGGUUUAGGGGUACAUCCAGAAACUGAGGGAAUUUGUGUACAGUAUAAGGGGAUUAUGAGUCAGGCUGAGGGGAGGGGAUGUGUGGGAGGUUACUCGACUAUGAUUGGACACUGCAGUAAUUGCUGUAAAUCCCUCCCUUGCAUGGGAGCAUGCUUUAUAAGGCCACUGUGGAAUAAAGGUUUUCAGUUCUGCUCCUGAUGCUGUGUGUCGUCCAGUUAUUGGGAUUGCUGUUGGGAUACUGUUGGAUUAAUUUACUUGCUGGAAACCUUGCUUUGUGGAUUUAUCAUCUCUUGUUCCUGAGCCUCACUGGGAUCUUAAGCGGAGAUAACCUGUGGAAUAUUGUGUCUCCGCUACACAUCCCAUAUACAUAUACACACACACACACACACACACACACAUUUCAGCCUCUAGACAUACACACUCUCUUUCACCCUCUAAAAUAAAACCCACACUAUGUCCUGUAUACAUACACACACUCUCUACAGCCCUCUACAAAUAGACACACACUACUUACCCUAUACACACUCUGCAGACCCCUAUACACUACAGCCCCUAAAAAUAAAAAUAGCUGAUACACUACAGCCAUUAAACACACAUUACAUCCCUACACUGCAGCCCCUUUGCACAAUACAGCUCCUAUGCACACACUACAUCCCAUAUACACAUGCACAUACACUUCAGCCUCUAGACACACACUCUCUAUGACCCUCUAAAAUAACAUACAAACUUGGUCCUGUAUACAUACACACACUCUCUGCAGCCCCUAGACACAUAUGCACAGACACUACUUCCCCUACACACACACUACAGCUCAUAUACACACACUACAGCCCCUGUAUACAUAUACACAUACCAUAUCCACUAUGCACACAUGCUACAGCCCCCUACAAACACACAUUCAGUCGCCUAUAUACAUGUACUCUCUACAGUCCCUGGACACACACACUCAAUCCUCUACACACACUACAUACUCAUACAAAUGACAAAUGAUGAUGGCGGACUCCUCCCUUCUUUCUGUUCCCCUAAUAAUCUUUUUAUGUGUCCCAAAACCCUACAGAUUGGCAGAGGAUCUGGGGGUAAGAAGAGGUUAAAAUGGAGUUGAGGCACAGAAAGGGUCAGGGGAGUGGCUGGUUAAACUAUACCAACAGGGGCCACAAAAAAAAUCUAGCAUGCAAUAGUGCCCGACCUUUGGAUCGCCUGUGGCUAUAGGUAGGUACCAGAUUUCUACUAUUUCACAAUAGAAAGAGGGUAAAUGAUACAGAUGGCAUGUUCAAUAUCCUGGAAUUUCUUCAGUCAUCCAGCAAGUCCAAUGACAUGUCAGUUCUAGGUGAUUUCCCAUAUGAAUAUGUGAAUAUUUUACUAUGAAGACUGAGAAUAUUUAAUUAUAAAUUCAUUAAGGGGCCUCACUUUUAUCCGUUUAGUUUUGCAGGAGACCAUAACAAGGCUGAUAGAAGAGAAGAGAAAAGCAUUUCUUCAAAUAGAAGAUCUAAACAACGAGAUAAGGAAGGUGAAAGCGGAGGUAAAUCAACAACCUCUUUUUAAAGUGGACUUUUUUUUACAACAUCUUUGCAAACCUACUGCCAUAGGAUACUGAAAAAAAGGGGUAUAGAUAACCUGGAUUGUGUUCUUAGUAAAAAAAAAUUAAAAAAAAUCUACCAGAACAUUAUUUAACACAAGUUAUUAUUCAGAAAACCAUCCUUUUCUGAUAACAUAGCUGCAUUGUUAUAUAGCUGAAAAGAGACCUACAUCCAUUAAGUUCAGCAUUUCUUAAACCUGUUUUUGCUGGUAAUCCAAAAAACUGUUUGAAGCACUUUUGCUGCAAACUAGGAAAAAAUGCUUCUUGACUUUAGAAUGGCAGUUAGAUUUCUCCUUGGAUCAAGAAGCUAUUACCCUACAAAUUAAAAAUGACAACACCAUGAUCUAUAUUUCUACUUACUUCUUCAUAAAAAGGAAUUAUGUUAGUUUGACAUUCCAUAAAACCAUGCUGAUUUUUGCUAAUAACACUAUUAUUCCCAAUGAAUUCCUGAAUAUUAUCCCUUAAUAAUCCCUCAAAAACUUUCUCAGCCACAGAAGUUAAGCUCACAGGUCUAUAAUUUCCAGGCACGGAUUUUGAACUUUUUUUUUUAAUAAAGGAACCACAUUUGCUUUUCUCCAAUACUCCGGAACAAUUCCCAAAAGAAAAUAAUCCUAAAAAAUGAAAAUGAGAGGUUCAAUUUUUUCUACAUUUAUCUCCUUAAGUACUCGUGGGUGCAUACCAUCAGGCCCUGGAGCUUUGUUUAUAUUAACAUUCUUUAGUUCCUGCAGCACCUUGUCUUGAGUUAUUCAAUCACAGUAACCGUUUAAUUUUUUAUGUACAACACAGCUUGAAAAUGAGCGACAAGAAGGAAAAUCUCUGUUAAGAACAUUGGCUAAGAAUCAAAGAAUGUUCCAAAAAUUAAACAGAG
This 2463-nucleotide long non-coding RNA is filed under the name Pelobates cultripes (western spadefoot toad). The record is from RNAcentral. Lineage: Eukaryota; Metazoa; Chordata; Amphibia; Anura; Pelobatidae.